This 497-nucleotide ribosomal RNA is filed under the name uncultured bacterium. RNAcentral describes it as "partial 16S ribosomal RNA". It matches the Rfam family "Bacterial small subunit ribosomal RNA", at positions 28 to 507 of the family's 1533-position model. The record is from RNAcentral.
GAUGAACGCUGGCGGCGUGCCUAAUACAUGCAAGUCGAGCGAACAGACGAGGAGCUUGCUCCUCUGACGUUAGCGGCGGACGGGUGAGUAACACGUGGAUAACCUACCUAUAAGACUGGGAUAACUUCGGGAAACCGGAGCUAAUACCGGAUAAUAUAUUGAACCGCAUGGUUCAAUAGUGAAAGACGGUUUUGCUGUUACUUAUAGAUGGUUCCGCGCCGCAUUAGCUAGUUGGUAAGGUAACGGCUUACCAAGGCAACGAUGCGUAGCCGACCUGAGAGGGUGAUCGGCCACACUGGAACUGAGACACGGUCCAGACUCCUACGGGAGGCAGCAGUAGGGAAUCUUCCGCAAUGGGCGAAAGCCUGACGGAGCAACGCCGCGUGAGUGAUGAAGGUCUUCGGAUCGUAAAACUCUGUUAUUAGGGAAGAACAAAUGUGUAAGUAACUAUGCACGUCUUGACGGUACCUAAUCAGAAAGCCACGGCUAACUACGUG